This 450-nucleotide ribosomal RNA is filed under the name uncultured bacterium. Its description in RNAcentral is "partial 16S ribosomal RNA". It matches the Rfam family "Bacterial small subunit ribosomal RNA", at positions 29 to 523 of the family's 1533-position model. The record is from RNAcentral.
AACGAACGCUGGCGGCAUGCCUAACACAUGCAAGUCGAACGAGAUCUUCGGGUCUAGUGGCGCACGGGUGCGUAACGCGUGGGAAUCUGCCCUUUGGUUCGGAAUAACAGUUGGAAACGACUGCUAAUACCGGAUGACGACGAAAGUCCAAAGAUUUAUCGCGCAGAGGAUGAGCCCGCGUAGGAUUAGCUAGUUGGGGUGGUACAGGCGCACCAAGGCGACGAUCCUUAGCUGGUCUGAGAGGAUGAUCAGCCACACUGGGACUGAGACACGGCCCAGACUCCUACGGGAGGCAGCAGUGGGGAAUAUUGGACAAUGGGCGAAAGCUUGAUCCAGCAAUGCCGCGUGAGUGAUGAAGGCCUUAGGGUUGUAAAGCUCUUUUACCCGGGAUGAUAAUGACAGUACCGGGAGAAUAAGCUCCGGCUAACUCCGUGCCAGCCGCCGCAGUAA